Long non-coding RNA from Astyanax mexicanus (Mexican tetra), 540 nucleotides. RefSeq lists it as uncharacterized. The transcript has 2 exons. NCBI's taxonomy places the organism in Eukaryota, Metazoa, Chordata, Actinopteri, Characiformes, Acestrorhamphidae. The record is from RefSeq and is a predicted model, not a curated record.
UGACUGAAGCUCAUGCAGCAGCUGAACAAAAACUGACUGAUUAUUACAAAGAUAUCAAAGAUAAAAUCAAGAGAGCCCAAAUUACAUACUGAAUUAUAUUCCUGUGAGAAAUAUUUUCUUCUAUCCUUACCUCUACUCUUUACUUUCUGAGCAAAAAGCACAAAUAAUACAAUGAAAUGCUCAAAGUUAUCAGUCACCUCUCAGACAUCACUUCUCACUUUGUAGCCUGUUAAACUGUUAGAACUAAGCUGAUGGUAAAAUCUUGUUCUUCGGUGUGAACACUGUUGUUUCUGUUCUCUCAGUGGGGAGAAAGAGUUUACUUCUCUAUGUUUUCUCUUGGUUUGUUUAAUAAGGGAGUUAGGUUAGAGAUUUGUAUUUCAUUUUCUUUUAUUUUUUAGGUAAGUUAGUUUUCUUAAUCUUUAAGUAAGCUUUGUUUUGUUUAUUAUUUUCCCUUUCAUCCCUAACUGUUGUCUCCCCUUUGAUUUAAGCCUUAUAUAUUUUUUUACAAUUUGUAAAAUAAACUAAACCUUUUGACUAAAA